CUUCUAGUGCACACACAAACUUCACACUCCUAGGUGCUGACGUGGUGACAGUUUGAAUCUCAAAGGAAUCCCCUUCAGAAACCCAACACCCUUUGGGAAAGCAUUUGGAAGGGAGCCAAUUCGUUAGAUAUGGGGAGCAUAAGGACACCAGGGUUAGCUAGAACAUCUAGAGAAGGGAUUAAUUGGGUUGGGGCACUACCUGGCAGGGAGAGAGCUGUGCAUUAGGAAAGGAUCAUCUCAAGAGAGAUGAAAACAAAACAAAACAAAAACAAAAACAAAAACAAAAAAAAUAAAACCUUGGGGGUGGGGGUAGAGAGGAAGAAAAGAAUCAGAAACUGAAAGAGGGAGAGAGAAGAAGAAAAACACAAAGGAGGGAGAAAAAGAAAAAAAGAAAUAGAAAGACGGAGAAACAAGGAGAAAGGAACCCACAAUCACACAGACCCUGGAACUCAAUUUCUUAAAAUCCAAAAUGCAUCAGUUUAUACCCAAUGCAGCACAGGAGCCACGGGGCACAAAAUGCGGGAGCGGGCGGAGAGAGAGCACUGCAGUAGAACCCACCGCUCAGCUGCCCCGGAUCCGCCUUCCUCCCAUUUUCGCCGUUGCCCUCUGGUGCCCGGAGCAGGAGGGCGGCCGGCAUUGCUCAGCGCACCCUAGUGCCUCCCUCCAGGCGCCUUCUCGCCUGGCUCCGGGGAUCGUUUUCGGAGCGAGGGAAGGGUUGGGGGGCUGUGGUAGGGAGGUCGUGGGAAGGAUGGGCGGAGGGCGGAGGCAGCGAAAGCGAUUUUGUUUCGCAGUUAGCAUGAGCUCAUCUCUGGGCUCUGAAGUGGCAGGAGUAGAAAGCUGAUCGCCCAGCUCCUGCCAGUGGCCGGACUGCAAAUGCAAUUUAGACGGUGCAAACACUUGCCCAGAGCAAAUCACCCGGGGGUCACGUCUGCGGGUGGCCUCUCCCCACUUGGGGAGCGUCCCCGCGCCUUCCGCCCCAAAGCCCUCGCGGAGACAGGCUACAGGUCGGGGGAUCCAACCCGAGACAGAUGGGCAAUUGACAUCCACGCAUUGCUUCUUGUAAAUGGGGCCAUAAAUCCAGGAUGUCAAGCCGGAUGGAGUGGAGCGCGGACAGGGGAGAGAUGGAAGGGAAAUGAACCAAGCAGGGAAGGUACCUCCUCGGGUGGGGUGGGAGGGAUUCGCAGGAUCUCCAGGGUGAAACUGCGAGAAGGCUGACCUGACCCCGCACCCCUGGAGUCCAAGCCAGCUUUUAGGAUUAAGAGCGCGGGGAGCUAAAGCGCGCUCUGCCCCGGAGGGAGCGCCUCCCUACCUGGAAGAGCCUCAGGAUGUUGGCUACCAUGAUGGAGACCGAACUCCCUGAAGCCCCAAUCACUCCAACUACUUUCUCCGGCUUGACGAAAACCGGAGGCUCGCCGUUGGUGCAGCGCACGUCGGAGGUGUCCUUCUGGAUGAGCGCCUGGACGAAAGUGAGCGACUGUUCGAGCGCGAGAAAUCUUCUAAAAUAAAGCACCCAAGAAGCAAGUUUGAUCUUACCCUGAGCAGAGAACCAAAAGCCAGUUUGCUACAUAACCCAGAGUGGAGCAGAAUGAGCUGGGUAGAGAGAUGGCAAUUCUUUCAGAAAUUGCAACAGUGAUAAAGAUGCCAGGAAGAAGUGAAGUGACAUUUCACUGAAACAUCAAUAUAUUUUGAAAGUCAGUGGCUACAUAAGCUAAGUAUCUAUGUUGAUUUCAAGUCUCUCCUCUCCCAGUUUUGCAGCUGAGGAAAUUAAGGCUCAGAAUCAGUAAGUGUGUUUUGGAAAAUCAUUUAAUAAUCAAGCCAUACCUUCUUACCCUCAAUCCAGUGUUGUACCUGCAGUAAAAUGUGCUGAUCCAAAUUAACUAUGCUGUUAGUUUUAUAUCUAUCUGAUAGACUUCAUCUUUAAAUCCAUUCUUUUCGAUAGACUCUCUUUUAAUCUCCCUUCCUGUAAAUUCAAAACCAAAAAUAAUUGUGACCAAAAUAUGGCACCAUGUUUGAUUUGAUUAUU
Long non-coding RNA from Herpailurus yagouaroundi (jaguarundi), 2023 nucleotides. RefSeq lists it as uncharacterized. The transcript is spliced from 3 exons. NCBI's taxonomy places the organism in Eukaryota, Metazoa, Chordata, Mammalia, Carnivora, Felidae. The record is from RefSeq and is a predicted model, not a curated record.